UCCUUAUCAAGAGCAGGGGAGGAACUUGGUCCCGCGAUCCUGCAGCAACCUGUCAGUAUUGACAAGGUGCUCACUCCAACAGACGUCAGGGUCUGGAAGAUGAGGA
Molecule: non-coding RNA, 106 nt
Filed under: Halobacillus sp.
Lineage: Bacteria; Bacillati; Bacillota; Bacilli; Caryophanales; Bacillaceae
Also listed under: 1 other name
Description: SAM-I sequence
Rfam family: SAM riboswitch aptamer (S box leader)
About the family: The SAM riboswitch is found upstream of a number of genes which code for proteins involved in methionine or cysteine biosynthesis in Gram-positive bacteria.
Source: RNAcentral